UGGGGAAUAUUGGACAAUGGGGGCAACCCUGAUCCAGCGAUGCCGCGUGAGUGAAGAAGGCCUUCGGGUUGUAAAGCUCUUUAGUGGGGGAGGAAGCGCUCUUAUGAAUAAUGGGAGUGGUUGACGUUACCCCAAGAAUAAGCACCGGCUAACUCUGUGCCAGCAGCCGCGGUAAUACAGAGGGUGCGAGCGUUAAUCGGAAUGACUGGGCGUAAAGGGUGCGUAGGUGGUUGAUUAAGUUAGUUGUGAAAGCCCUGGGCUUAACCUGGGAAUGGCACCUAAAACUGGUUAACUGGAGUCGGUGAGAGGGGUGUGGAAUUUCCGGUGUAGCGGUGAAAUGCGUAGAGAUCGGAAAGAACACCGGUGGCGAAGGCGGCACUCUGGCACCAGACUGACACUGAGGCACGAAGGCGUGGGGAGCAAACAGGAUUAGAUACCCGGGUAGUCC
RNAcentral lists this ribosomal RNA (448 nucleotides) under uncultured bacterium. Its description in RNAcentral is "bacterial SSU rRNA". It matches the Rfam family "Bacterial small subunit ribosomal RNA", at positions 355 to 796 of the family's 1533-position model. The record is from RNAcentral.